CAAGUCGGACGAGAAAGGAGACUUCGGUCUCUGAGUACAGUGGCGCACGGGUGCGUAACACGUAAGUAAUCUACCCCCGAACUCUGGGAUAACCCUCCGAAAGGAGGGCUAAUACUGGAUAGGGUCCCCGAGGUGUAGGCCGCGGGGGGAAAACGGGCCUCUGUUUCAUGCUCGUGGUUUGGGAUGAGCUUGCGGCCCAUUAGCUGGUUGGUAGGGUAACGGCCUACCAAGGCAACGAUGGGUAGCUGGUCUGAGAGGAUGAUCAGCCACACUGGCACUGAGACACGGGCCAGACUCCUACGGGAGGCAGCAGUGGGGAAUUUUGCGCAAUGGGCGAAAGCCUGACGCAGUAACGCCGCGUGGAGGAUGAAGGCCUUCGGGUUGUAAACUCCUGUCAGGAGGAACGACGGGGAAAGGGUGAUAAAUCCUUUCCUCCAGACGGUACCUCCAAAGGAAGCCCCGGCUAAUUCCGUGCCAGCAGCCGCGGUAAUACGGAAGGGGCGAGCGUUGUUCGGAAUCAUUGGGCGUAAAGGGCGCGUAGGUGGUUCUGUAUGUCUACCGUGAAAGCGUACGGCUCAACCGUAUUUUGUCGGUAGAAACUGCAGGACUUGAGGCUGGGAGGGGCUGGUGGAAUUCCCUGUGUAGCGGUGAAAUGCGUAGAGAUGGGGGGAGAACACUCGUGGCGAAGGCGGCCAGCUAGACCAGUUCUGACACUGAGGCGCGACAGCGUGGGGGAGCAAACAGGAUUAGAUACCCUGGUAGUCCACGCUGUAAACGAUGGGCACUAGGUGCCGGCGGUCUUGAUCCCGUCGGUGCCGGCGCUAACGCAU
RNAcentral lists this ribosomal RNA (830 nucleotides) under uncultured Pseudomonadota bacterium. RNAcentral's name for it is "bacterial SSU rRNA". It matches the Rfam family "Bacterial small subunit ribosomal RNA", at positions 58 to 860 of the family's 1533-position model. Lineage: Bacteria; Pseudomonadati; Pseudomonadota. The record is from RNAcentral.